GCACAGCAUCAACGUUUUCUUGGGUGAC
RNAcentral lists this small RNA (28 nucleotides) under Bombyx mori (domestic silkworm). RNAcentral describes it as "ovarian small RNA-16290". The record is from RNAcentral. Lineage: Eukaryota; Metazoa; Arthropoda; Insecta; Lepidoptera; Bombycidae.